Molecule: long non-coding RNA, 552 nt
Filed under: Capra hircus (goat)
Lineage: Eukaryota; Metazoa; Chordata; Mammalia; Artiodactyla; Bovidae
Description: lncRNA (ENSCHIG00000006225.1)
Source: RNAcentral
CCAUGACCCGCCAUGGGGUACGCUGGGUGAACCCAACAUGUUCCAGCUCCCCAGACUCUCACAGGUCAUAGAAAAAGGCAGAGGCAUACGCUAGCUCAGUAAGGUGCCACAGGAGAGUGACAUUAGUUUGUUUGGGGCAGUGACUCCUCUGUGAGCGCAGGUUCCUACCAUCUCUUCCCAUCAUGGCUUGUUUCAACAUCCCUUCUUGCACAGCAGAGAAGAAGGACAAUUGCACAUGAAUACAGGAAGGAGAGCAGGCUAGGCUUGGGGGAAAGCCCAGAGUGUGCUAUGGGGAAUCAGUGAGGAUCUCAAAGAUUAUUCAGUGAGCACCCCCUAUUCGAAAGUAAUUCUCAGGUAGAGGAGAAUGAAUGGAGGGGCUGGACUUGUGCAGACAGACAAGUGAGAAGGCUGAUGAAAUGACCCAGGUCCAGGGUCACAAGCCAGACCCUGGCCUUUGGGGCUUGGCCUUUGGCUCAGGAAACAUGAUCACAUGCCUAUGUGCUGAAGCGUACAGGCUACCUCCUGGAUGGCCCCCCAAAUUUUCUCUGGGCA